Molecule: long non-coding RNA, 1449 nt
Organism: Mesocricetus auratus (golden hamster)
Lineage: Eukaryota; Metazoa; Chordata; Mammalia; Rodentia; Cricetidae
Exons: 2
Source: RefSeq, a predicted model, not a curated record
UAGAGGAGAGCAAGAUAACAGAAAGCAAUUUUUCAUAUCAACUUCUCACACUAUUGUACAUAAGCAAAUCAAAGCUGAUGGGAAAGAUUUUUUGAAGUUCAAGCCUACUAUCAAUGAAUGCAACAAUUUGUAAUGCAAUGCAGAAGCAAAUUCCUUGUCAUUCAAACCAGCCAGACUUGGGAAGAUUAAUUUAAAUGUCUAUGAUAUUUAAGAAAAAAGGAAUCAAGGUCACAUUAUCCAUUUCUGUUCUAGUACCUCCAAACUGUGUUGGUAAUAUGGCUAAAAUUUUAAAAAUCAAUUUGUUAAAAGUGUAGUCUAGCAAUGUCUCAUCAAUGGCUUUGAAGAAAGUUCAUUGAUCAGAGUUCAUUGUUCAAGCACAUCUGAUAAUGGCAGACACACAUGGGUACAUCAUCAGGGAGGAAAAGCAUACAUACUGACAAGUCCAGGAAUAAUGAGGGCACUGAACUGCUCCUCCUCAGUAGUUCCCCAGGGUCAAGGUCCAGUUAUCCAAUGGUCCAGGAAAGACAGGAUUGUGAGAGAUGGUAAUAGCUUAGCACAGGAGGCAAAGCUUUUAGAAUGCUGUGAGUAUGGUAAAGAGAUAGAAUCAAAAGAAAAGUUCACAACCAAUGGCUUGUCUUGCCUUGCCUUAAAAAUACACAAGUUCUGCUUUCUUGUGCUCAAGAACAUUCCUUGAUGAUCUUUGCAAUGACUGAACCUUUGGCAUUGAGUAGGAAAUGGGGAAAAAUCUCUGCAUUACAAAAGAAACAAGAAGAUGUGUGAAAAAUUGAAGUGACAUGUUGGAAAAAAGGCAGAUAUGGUUGAAGAUCCGAUCAUUAUUGUGGGUGUAGUUUUUUCUUUCUUCCAGAGAAUCACGUGACAAAUAAUUUCAGAGAAAAGUUAUUCUUUUCCUGACACUAUUGUUCAGAAUGUUAUAGAAAUAUAUUGAAUCCUUGCUUUUUAAUAAUCUGCAUGGAUUUUUAUUUCAGCUGUUCACUUUCCACCAUUUUGUGUUAUAGGCCCAACCAGCACGGCUGAGGAUGUAGCAAACCUCUGGAGACUUACUUGCUGGGUACCAGAGAACAGGUGCAAGAAUGAGGUGAGAUUGCGUGAAUGCACUGGAAAUGGUGGACUUCAACAUCAGCACCACAAUCUGCAAGAGAAGAAGGCAGCAAUACCCGUGACCUGCACGAGCGACACAUCCACGUGCUGGUGCCUUCUUCACACAAGAGGUCUGACUUUUCAUGUCAAGCAGAGGUGAUAUUUCCCUGGUGAACAAGGUCUUCAUCUGUCAUGGACACGGUUGUGUCUCUGUGAUGUGCAAAUCACCUUCUGCAUGGAUGUGCUGGGCUAAGCAGUGAAAUCCUUUGAGAACUUUGUUUCUCCUUGUCCUUUCUGUCUGCAGUAUUUGUCGUCUCUUUUUGUGUGAAAAAUAAAAUAAUAAUAAUGCAA